GACGAACGCUGGCGGCGUGCUUAACACAUGCAAGUCGAACGGAAAGGCCCUGCUUGCGGGGUACUCGAGUGGGGAACGGGUGAGUAAGACGCGGGUGGUUUGCCCGGCAGUUAGGGGUAAGCAUGGGUAACUGGGUCUAGUAACGGCUAGAUGAGAGUAUAAGUGUGAUGGUUGGAAAGUAUUUUGUGUAUAUGAUGAGCUAGCGGGCGAUCGGCCUGUUGGUUGGGUAAUGGCCUACGAAAGGGGCGACCGGUAGCCGGCAUGGGAGGGUGGACGGCGACAUUGGGACUGAGAUACGGCCCAGAAUCCUACGGGAGGCAGCAGUGGGGAAUAUUGCACAAUGGGCGCAAGCCUGAUGCAGCGACGCCGCGGGGGGGAUGACGGCCUUCGGGUUGUAAACUCCUUUCGCUAGGGACGAAGCUUUUUGUGACGGUACCUAGAUAAGAAGCACCGGCUAACUACGUG
Molecule: ribosomal RNA, 465 nt
Filed under: uncultured bacterium
Lineage: Bacteria
Description: partial 16S ribosomal RNA
Rfam family: Bacterial small subunit ribosomal RNA
Source: RNAcentral